AGACUGACGGGGGGCUUGCACAUUUCCAUUUAUUGCAAACUCAUCGUCAGCCUUCUC
Molecule: microRNA precursor, 57 nt
Filed under: Heliconius melpomene (postman butterfly)
Lineage: Eukaryota; Metazoa; Arthropoda; Insecta; Lepidoptera; Nymphalidae
Description: Hme-Mir-6302-P2_pre stem-loop
Source: RNAcentral